AUGACAAUGAAGUGGAAGAGCCAUUUGUGGUAUGGGGAUGCAACACCAAGUUUUGGAAAUGGUGCAUGCAAGAGGAAGUAUAUUUAUAGCCGCCGUGGGUUGCUCAUGAGUCAAGAUUUGGAAACCUUCGGUUUUGAAUGGCCGAGGUUUACAAAUCCGCUGAGACAUGGGAUUGGAGACAUUUUUCUCUCUGGUGUAUAUGUACCUGCAACUUCCUUGUUCAUCCUAUGCUGCAUAAGCUGUAGUUUAUGUAAAAUAGUAUUUUGGCCUUCUGCACCUAUUUGUACUAUAUCUUAUCCGGCCUGUUUGAAGAUAUUGUUCUGUGGACUGGUGGAUUGGCAUGUCCGGUGA
This 351-nucleotide ribosomal RNA is filed under the name Triticum aestivum (bread wheat). RNAcentral describes it as "partial small subunit ribosomal RNA". The record is from RNAcentral. Lineage: Eukaryota; Viridiplantae; Streptophyta; Magnoliopsida; Poales; Poaceae.